Molecule: ribosomal RNA, 314 nt
Filed under: Gastrostomobdella monticola
Lineage: Eukaryota; Metazoa; Annelida; Clitellata; Hirudinida; Gastrostomobdellidae
Description: eukaryotic LSU rRNA
Rfam family: Eukaryotic large subunit ribosomal RNA
Source: RNAcentral
GACCAAGGAGUCUAACACGUGCGCGAGUCGCAGGGCAGUACGAAACCCGAAGGCGUAAUGAAAGUGAAGGUCGUCCUAGCGUCGGCCUAGGUGGGAUCUCGGGGCGAGCGAUCGCGACGAGCGCACCACCGGCCCGUCUCGGCCGCAGCGUCGGCGAGGCGGAGCAAGAGCGUACUUGUUGGGACCCGAAAGAUGGUGAACUAUGCCUGAGUAGGACGAAGCCAGAGGAAACUCUGGUGGAGGUCCGCAGCGAUUCUGACGUGCAAAUCGAUCGUCAAACUUGGGUAUAGGGGCGAAAGACUAAUCGAACCAUC